Long non-coding RNA from Oncorhynchus keta (chum salmon), 3254 nucleotides. RefSeq lists it as uncharacterized. The record is from RefSeq and is a predicted model, not a curated record. Lineage: Eukaryota; Metazoa; Chordata; Actinopteri; Salmoniformes; Salmonidae. The transcript has 3 exons.
CCAUUCAGAGGUAAUGUGUGUAGUUCUGAUAUGAAAUAAAUUACAUUCUUUGCAUUUGUUUCAGAAAGGCUUGAUGUAAAAUGCCAGUAUAUGGCAAUGUGCAUACAUAUUUGUGAUGAUCUAUAUUGAGUAUCUUUCUAUUCGUUCCACCCUCUUCACCUGGUCUGAUCUUAUGAACCUGUGUUCUCUACUGCUCUGCCCUAACCCAUCCUCCAAGGUAACAACCUGUGUUCUCUACUGCUCUGCCCUAACCCAUCCUCCAAGGUAACAACCUGUGUUCUCUACUGCUCUGCCCUAACCCAUCCUCCAAGGUAACAACCUGUGUUCUCUACUGCUCUGCCCUAACCCAUCCUCCAAGGUAACAACCUGUGUUCUCUACUGCUCUGCCCUGACCCAUCCUCCAAGGUAACAACCUGUGUUCUCUACUGCUCUGCCCUGACCCAUCCUCCAAGGUAACAACCUGUGUUCUCUACUGCUCUGCCCUAACCCAUCCUCCAAGGUAACAACCUGUGUUCUCUACUGCUCUGCCCUGACCCAUCCUCCAAGGUAACAACCUGUGUUCUCUACUGCUCUGCCCUGACCCAUCCUCCAAGGUAACAACCUGUGUUCUCUACUGCUCUGCCCUAACCCAUCCUCCAAGGUAACACCCUGUGUUCUCUACUGCUCUGCCCUGACCCAUCCUACAAGGUAACACCCUGUGUUCUCUACUGCUCUGCCCUGACCCAUCCUCCAAGGUAACACCCUGUGUUCUCUACUGCUCUGCCCUGACCCAUCCUACAAGGUAACACCCUGUGUUCUCUACUGCUCUGCCCUGACCCAUCCUCCAAGGUAACAACCUGUGUUCUCUACUGCUCUGCCCUGACCCAUCCUCCAAGGUAACAACCUGUGUUCUCUACUGCUCUGCCCUGACCCAUCCUCCAAGGUAACAACCUGUGUUCUCUACUGCUCUGCCCUGACCCAUCCUCCAAGGUAACACCCUGUGUUCUCUACUGCUCUGCCCUGACCCAUCCUCCAAGGUAACAACCUGUGUUCUCUACUGCUCUGCCCUGACCCAUCCUACAAGGUAACACCCUGUGUUCUCUACUGCUCUGCCCUGACCCAUCCUCCAAGGUAACAACCUGUGUUCUCUACUGCUCUGCCCUGACCCAUCCUCCAAGGUAACAAGAAGGGUGUCAAGAUAUAUGUCAAUCAUCUCAAUGAGGAGGGGAUCCAAAGGAGACGAGCCAAUAGGAGACAGAGGCCAUGAGAGCACAUUGGAUUGGUCGUCCAACUUGCAUGGUUCUGUACUCCACUCCCCCAUUAUCUUCUUCAACUCUGCCUGGUUGUCUCACCAGACCCUUAGUAACAGUUCCUUACCACAGGCUCUGUGUCUGCUUCUAGAUCCCACAGUUCCUCUCCUCCUUCCUCCUCCUCCUCUUCACUGGAAUCCUGCAUAUACAACAGGGCCUGUUCGUACUCUUGUCGUACAACAGUGGCCUUAGAGUGCACUUUGAGCCACAGACCUAGGUUGAGAGGAAACACCACCGAUACUCAAUGGCAUUUUCUUGAUCACACAGGCCUGCAAUUGACUGAUUGGAUAUUUGAGAGUCUCAUAGCACUUCUUCAAUACUGUGAACAGUAUUAGGUCAUUAGGUCUCACCUGCCUCACCCUCAGCAUUCUUUCACCUGCUGUCUGAACCUAAACAUCGACUACAGGAUCCACCCUCUGCACUCCAAGCUGAGAGAUGGAUGGAGGAGGAGAAAGGAUGGAUGGGGAAGAAGAGAAGGGUGUGAUGCUGUUGGAGAAGAAAGGGAUGGAGAGAAGGAUAAGAGAGAAGGCGGAACAUGGGCCUUUUGCCCAUUUGUGAUAAUACAGAGGACUGAAUAUUCUAUGAAAGAUGUUUCAUUAGUGCUCCUAACUUAUUGGCGGUGGCUGUGCUUGUAUGAAACACCUGUUGGACAAGAGCCUCUUGGCUCUACACAGUCUUAUUUCCAUCAUAAUGGCAGAUGGAAGCUGCCUCAUUAUACCCAUUAAAAGAGGCCCUACCGUGGGCAAACAGCCGAGUCCAUGCUGGGUUAGAGUACAUGAAAGUCCCAUAAUCACAGGGUCAAUAUUACUCAUUCAUCCACUAAGGGUUAAGGUUGGGAUUUGGGGACCCCUCUAAGAAAGGUAGUCAGACACCAAGACUGGAGGCCGCUGUGUAAUAGGGUGAGCUGGUGUAAAUGCAUCCGGGGGGGUGUAACACACAAAUGUAGGAGCUGGAUUUGGUGGGUACAAAACUGCACACAUGAUGACACUGUUAACAAAGGUGUGCUGAUUGGUCUAUACACUAUUAAUGGUAUGUUAGUCACCAGACAGAGUCCCAGGGGAGUGACGCAACAAACUGCUGAGACUGUCUCUCUCUUUGGUAAUUACAUGUAAUUACUCAGUAACUAAUAACUAAUUUCACACAGACUAUAGCCAGUAUCAAUUCACCAAAACUGAUCUUAUCAGCAUCAUCCUACUCAUGUUAGCCUAUCAGCAUCAUCCUACUCAUGUUAGCCUAUCAGCAUCAUCCUACUCAUGUUAGCCUAUCAGCAUCAUUAUACUCAUGUUAGCCUAUCAGCAUCAUUAUACUCAUGUUAGCCUAUCAGCAUCAUUAUACUCAUGCUAGCCUAUCAGCAUCAUUAUACUCAUGUUAGCCUAUCAGCAUCAUCCUACUCAUGUUAGCCUAUCAGCAUCAUCCUACUCAUGUUAGCCUAUCAGCACCAUCCUACUCAUGUUAGCCUAUCAGCAUCAUCCUACUCAUGUUAGCCUAAGCAUCAUCCUACUCAUGUUAGCCUAUCAGCAUCAUCAUACUCCUGUUAGCCUAUCAGCAUCAUCUUACUCAUGUUAGCAUAUCAGCAUCAUCCUACUCAUGUUAGCCUAGCUUACCUUUCUGUCUCCUCCAGAACCCUGUGUCUGAGGAGGAGGGUCCUCCCUGCUGUCACUCAUGGUUGACCACUCAGAGUCAGAUCCGAAUGUGCAGUACCUGUAAACAAAACAUGAUGUCAGAUAUUUGGUUAUUCCUAAUCUCAUUCCUAGACACUUCUGCCCAAAGUUGUUCGAAACAUUUCAUGAAAUGGUGGAGCAAAUUAAUGACUUUCUCUGGAAAACAAAUGUCAAUCUCUCUCUCUCUCUCUCUCUGACUCUUUCUGAUAAUGUAUGAGUCCUUCAUAGACAGCAUACUGUAAAUGUUUUGCAUUGUAAAUGGCCCCUAUAGACCACUAUAUAAAGGUAAACCUAUUAAGCCUCA